Molecule: unclassified non-coding RNA, 624 nt
Filed under: Hevea brasiliensis (rubber tree)
Lineage: Eukaryota; Viridiplantae; Streptophyta; Magnoliopsida; Malpighiales; Euphorbiaceae
Source: RNAcentral
UGCACAUAAGGCUUAUAAAGUAAUUAAAGGAACCAGUAGGAUCACUCUUGUAAAGAGAGAUUAAUUAUUUAGGUCAUGAUAUUUUACAUAUAUAUAUAAACACACAUACUUUAUUAAUAAAGAUUGUGUUGCUUCCUUUCAUAAUUAAGCUUCUUCAUCCUACUUCUUGGCCUCUUUCUUCUCAUAUUUCUCAUCGACGGCAACUCAGCACCUCCCUCUUCUAUCUUGUGACUAUAAGCAUGUUCUGAGUCUUUCUUUACCUCGUGUUUCUCAUACUGAAAUUAUUAUACCACAUUUUUCAAAACAAAAAAAAUAUGUUAAUAAGUAUUCAUUAAAAAAUAUAUUAAAUUAUAAAUACGUUAAAUAUUUGGUAAUUAAUUUCACUUUACGCAUGAAAAAUUAGUGAGAGAGCAUCACCGAGGCAUAAGCGCCAGUAGCCCCUAGUUCGGGGUACUUCUCUUCAUCAAAGAACUCAGAGACCUUAGUGUAGACAGCAAUCUCAACGGGUUUUCCCUCUUCCUUGUGGUGGUGUGGGCGGUCGGGGUACUUCUCUUCAUUAGACAUGGUGGGGUUUCAAGAAAUUAGUACAAGAAAAGAGACAAGGGAACUAGCUAUAGGAAUUGG